Molecule: long non-coding RNA, 1639 nt
Organism: Homo sapiens (human)
Lineage: Eukaryota; Metazoa; Chordata; Mammalia; Primates; Hominidae
Product: long intergenic non-protein coding RNA 707
Source: Ensembl
CAGUGUGGCUAAAAUAAAGCAGGCAGAGGAACGUGGAAGGACUAGACUGCCUGAGUCUUCUGACCUUCAUCUUUCCCCUGUGUUGGAUGCCUCCUGCCCUCAAACAUCAGACUCCAGGUUCUUCAGCUUUUGGACUCUUGGACCUACCCCCCGAGUGGUUUGCCAGGGGCUCUCAGGCCUUCGGCUACAGACUGAGGGCUGCAUUAUCAGCUUUCCUACUUUUGAGGUUUUGGGACUUUACUGGCUUUCUUGCUCCUCAACUUGCAGAUGGCCUGUUGUGGGACCUCACCUUGUGAUCAUGUACAUGAGGGAAAUACACACCCCUCCCAGGGAUGAUGGAAGGUUAAGGUCCUAACACCUCCUGCACAUCUGAGCAGCUGCACAUUGAACCAGAUAGUCCUGGAAUGUGGGAAAACAGAGGCAGACUCAAGAGUCUGGAACAUUAUUUUAGGAUCACACAAAAAAGAUACAUAAUUUUCAUAGGUCUUGCUCUGUCUCCCAGGUUAUGUAGCACAGUGGUGUGAUGUUGGCUCACUGCAGCCUCAACAUUCUGGAAUCAAGCGAUCCUCCCUCUUCCGCCUCCCGAGUAGCUGGAACUACAGGUGCAUACGACCAUGCCUGGCAUUUUUUGUAUUUUUGGUAAAGAUGGGGUUUCACCAUAUUGCCAAGGCUGUUCUCAAACUUCUGGACUCAAGCAAUCCUCCCACCUGGGCCUCCCAAAGUGCUGGGAUUACAGGCAUAAGCUACUGCACCCGGCCAAUAAUCAAUUACUUUCUUCAAUUAUCUUACUAAUGAUACUGAAAGCAUCUCAAAAAUAAAAUCACGAGUAUCUGCAGAUCACUAUGAGACUGGACUGGAACAUUACCUUCAGACACAUUGAUAUGACUACAUGCUGGACAUUUUCUUGCGGAAAUCCAAAAGAAAUCCCCAUUUUCUUGCAGAAAUCUAAAAUAAUCUCCCCUAUGUGCAAGUCAGACUGAGCACCACUCCCAAGACCAUGACCUCCCCUGCAGCCCUGCUCCUUCCCACUCACCUCUCCUCUUGAGAAAGCCACCUCCCACCACCCAGUCUGCAGUGCCAGAAAACUGGAAACCAGCCCCUAAGCUGCUUUCACCUUCGGCCCAUUUCUCACUAGCCAGCCUCUCCCACGGCCUCCCCAGUUUCUUCAAAUACACCCCCUCCACUAUUCACCAUACUGCCACCGUGAUUUAUUUACAACUUUUUGUCCGGAUUACCUCAGUAGCCUUCUAAUUGUCCCCUUUGCAUCUAAAGUAGCCCCUCUCAUCCCCCAAAUCUUACGUCACUCUUCUACAUAAUUCUGGCUUUCCAUGACCCAUAAACCACAUUUCUCAAGUGUGCUCUAUGCUGGCUUGAAUAUGUUAAUAAUCUUAAUUCUACUUUUAGUGCAAUUUUCUUAGAGCUGGCAUCACUUUCAUCAUGACGUGAGAACUUACUAGAGAUAGGCAAUGAUGACUCACAGUCAAGCCACAUGUCAUAUGCUGCAGACAUCUGGACUGCUGCUUAUUUGCAAAUCCUUUUCUUCAUAUUUUUCUCAUUUGUAGCACUGGAUCAAUUCCAAUUAAGAGUUUAAUAAUGAAUUAACUAAUGAUUUAAACAGGUGGAUAAGACUAACACUGAA